RNAcentral lists this small nuclear RNA (289 nucleotides) under Heterocephalus glaber (naked mole-rat). Its description in RNAcentral is "7SK RNA". It matches the Rfam family "7SK RNA". Rfam says of the family: 7SK was discovered as an abundant small nuclear RNA in the mid-70s but a possible function has only recently been suggested. Two independent studies have found that 7SK RNA binds the CDK9/cyclin T complex (known as elongation factor P-TEFb). The record is from Rfam by way of RNAcentral. Lineage: Eukaryota; Metazoa; Chordata; Mammalia; Rodentia; Bathyergidae.
GGACAUGAGGGCGAUCUGGCUGUGACAUCUGUCACUCCACUGAACGCCAGGAUUGAUUUGGCUGGCUAAGCAAGUGUCCUCUUCUGCCCUCAUGGCUCCAUGUGUAUCCCUCCUGGUGUUGCGCACUCUGUCAAAGAGCACGACCACCCCUGAUAGAGGAGGACCGUUUCCUCUGUCAAGGGUAUACGAGUAGCUGCGCUCCCCUGGUAGAACCUCCAAACAAGCUCUCAAAAAGAUAUAAAAGGGUAGUAACUACGUGAAAAUGUUCACCACACUCACUUCCUAAAGU